RNAcentral lists this unclassified non-coding RNA (3215 nucleotides) under Orussus abietinus. Its description in RNAcentral is "neurocalcin homolog, transcript variant X1". Lineage: Eukaryota; Metazoa; Arthropoda; Insecta; Hymenoptera; Orussidae. The record is from RNAcentral.
ACUAUGAUGGCGUUUGAGAAACCCGCGUGGCGUCCCACAAGAAAUUGGAUUUUCAAGAAGCAAUCUACUUCGGCUUCUUUUCGUGUCACGGAGAGCCCAAGAUGGCGGACUGAAGACAUGUCCGGCGUCCAACUGUCGCAAGAUAUCGGGUUUUCGAGAAGCAAUCUCCAUCGGCUCUUUUCGCGUCGUGAGACCAAGAUGGCACUCGGGAGGCCCGCGUGUCGUCCGACCUCCACGAGAUUUUUAUGAAACGAUCUUCUUACGCUCAUUCCGUGUCACGACAAGGCCAAGAUGGCGGAGGGAAGACCUGCGUGCUGUCCAACUGCCGCAAGAUAUUGGGUUUUUGGAGAAGCGAUCUUCAUCGGCUCCUUUCGCGUCGUGAGACCAAGACGGCUAUCGGGAAGUCCGCGUGCCGUGUAACCUCCACGAGACGAUGGAUUUUUAUGAAACGAUCUUCUUCGGCUCCUUUCGUCGCACGAAGAGCCCAAGAUGGCGCUAGGGAGACCCGCGUAGCGUUCAAUCUCCACGGGAUGGCAUCUUUUUAUGAAACGAUCUUCUUCGGCCCCUUUCGUGUCAAGGCGGGACCAAGAUGGCGGACGAAGACGCGCACGGCGUCCGGCUGCCGCAAGAUAUCGGGUUUUCGAAGAGCGAUGUCCUUCAACCCCUUUCGUGUCGCGGAGAGACCAAGAUGGCGCUGGAACGACACGCGUGGCGUCCCGCAGGAUAUCGGAUUUUCCAGAAGUAACCUUCCUCGGCCCUCUUCGUGUCACCGGAGUCUAAGAUGGCACUUGGAGACUAAGACGGUUCGCGUAAAAUGGCGGAUUCCUUGGAAGCGACCUUUUCAUCUCACGAAGAGACCAAGAUGUCACCGGGAGGACACAGCGUCCGCUUCUCGCAAGAUGGCGAAUUUUCAAGAAGAGAUUCCCUUAAGGCAGCCCUUUCUCGGCACGAAGGAACCAAAAUGGUGCCCGAAUGAUACCCAUCUUACAUCUCGUCCCGACAAAGUGGCGAAUUCUUCUUGUUCGGUCCUUCUUGUUACGCAAAGAGAUCAAAAUGGUUUCCGGAAAACACACGGGAUGUCCGGUCCCCGCAAAAUGGUACAUCCUUUGAAAGCAAGUAUCUCGUUUCACGGAGAGCCAAAAUGGCGUUCGAAAUCUCGAAUUCGGUCCCCGCAAAAUGGCAGAGAUUUUGGCUACCUCCUUCGGACCUUUUUAUUCCAUGGUAAAUUCAAAGUGAGACUCAGAAGAUGAACUCAACAUCUGCUUAUCAGGAAUAAUUAAGCGUAAUCCAACCUUUUAUUAAUCCAAUUAUCGACGGGUCACAAAUGGGGUGCAUUGGAAAAAACUGAUAACGAAUUAGAUGGACUUUAUACGUUAACAAAUGUUCCAUGACAGAUCGCAGUCAAUGUGUUCUCGCGACUCAGGAGGUAGAAAAAUCGUAUUGUUUGUUUUACAAAGCUCAAAGAAUUAUCAGAAUAGAAGAGAAUUUAUGCCAGUACCAAAUCAACUGCGUAAAUUGUGAUUCACUGUAGGAAACUGCGAAGCAACGCCCUGGCGGGAACAUUGAAAAUAUGAAAUACGAUUCAAAUCCCGUGAUGGAAUACCAAGAUGGCGUCCAAAGGUAAAAUUUGAGAAAUGUCCACUGCCCGAUGCGAAGUCGGAUGCUCCUGAUUUCUUUUUCUUCAAAUGUUUGGGAAGGGAAGAUGGAGUGAGAGGAAAUUGAAGAAGAAAAUGGCCUUCGGAUCAGAUGAACUGGGUUACGAACGAAUCAACUCUUACUGACGGACUGUGAAAUAAUGUUAUCUCAUUCCAAGGAGGUCUGCGGUGCACACAUAAAGAAAAUUCGUAAAAACUGAUGCAAAAUGAUUACGGAGGCACGCUUCAAUGCAAUUGUUUAACAAUGAAUCGUAUAGAAGUAACCGCUUUCUUUGAACUCUUUUGCAAACAUCAAAAUGGUACCUGGAGAAUUAACAAGUCGAACGCUUUUAGAAGAAAAAAAAGUGACAAAUCGUCAGAAAAAUUUAAUUCAGUGAUUAUACCGAAGAAUUUAUCAGAGCCAACAUAAACUAAUAGAUAAUUAUUGUUGAAUGAGAGAAAACUGACAGGGAAUUAAAACCUAAAAUAUUAAAACUAAAGGAAGACCUCAAGAUAAGGGAUCCUUAAUGGGAACUAGGACAUGACAAGGUUCCUUGUUCGUUCUUUCCAGAUUAGCAAGAAGAUCAAACAUAAUGCCCAAAAAAUCAAUACGAUACCUGAUCCUCAACAUGACGGACAGAAGGUGUAUCUUCCAAAUGCCAGAAAACCACCGAAGAGUCCUCAUUUCCCUCAAACGCUCCGAGAACUUCAAAACUUUGCGGAAAGAAGAUCAAAUUCAAAAAGAGAACGAGAAAGAGCGUUUGUUAUGUGUGAAUGUGCCCUUACUCCUGCACUCCUCCUUACCAUACAACUUUACAAUUACCUUUUUUUAUUACCUAUUUCUGUAUCAUAAAAUCCCGACAAUACUAAAGUUCCUUCUCGCCUGGAAAUUUCUUCUUCCUUUUUCUUCAUAUUUUUUUUUCGAAUUUUACGGAACGACUUGUAACAUUUAGCGAUACCGUACCCGUGAUCUCAUUACAUUUCCGACGUGAUCUGUAUUUUGUUUUUCGUUUUUCUAUUUUAAAACUGCCAUACCGUUUUUCUCAUAAAAUCCGGAUUUUUUUGUUUGUUCUUCAGUCUCCGCCGUUUUCUGUUUUUUCUUCAUUUUUUUUUUCUUUCGAAUUUUACAGAACGACCUGUAACAUUUAUCGAUACCGUAUCCGGGAUCUCAUUACAUAUUCGACGUGAAUCUGUAUUUUGUUUUUCGUUUUUUUAUUUUAAAACUGCCAUACCGUUUUUCCCGUAAAAUCCGGAUUUUUUCUUGUUUAUUCUGCAGUCUCCGCAACCAUUCAUAUCCCCGCGAAACAUUUUAGAUUGAUGGCUCUCGACAGGUGUUUUCAUUUUUCGACAUUUCUUUUCUAGGUGUGCCCGGUGCUGCUUCUUUAGAAGCUAUUGUUAUUGAGAAGGAACGCAUCUACUAGUCAGUGACUUUUGACAACGAAAUUCGUAAAGUCCACCGAAACGUUUGGUGGCACAGGAGACCAGCCAUGGGCAAACAAAACAGCAAACUCAAGCCUGAAGUGCUAGAAGACCUUAAGCAGAAUACGGAGUUCUCAGACGCGGAAAUUCACGAAUGGUACA